UAUCCUCAACUGGGAUUCGACCAGAUGAUUUUCGGGGUGAUAACAGCGAUGUCUACGGUUUUAAGCCUCGUGGGUGAGGUCAGCUGCACGUACUACAUUGAAAUGGCCCCGGGAUACUUGCUUGACGACGAUAAUCAAAAACGGGUUACAAUAAAGGGGCUUCGUCAGCUGGAACCUGGGUUCUACUCGUGCAACAACAAGGAGGAAGAUUAUGGAUGGACGUUGAUGGAGUGUCUGGACGUCGGGUUCCACGAGGCCGACGAGAUCUACGCCACGACGACCUUCUUCACGGCCUACAGACCCUCCCUCCGGAUCGGGCAGGCGCUCCAACUGAACGGCAAAGACAUGAUCGAGCCACCGACCACUAUGCCGAUCGGCUUCCCGCUCGGCGGCUACCUCAGGCCCGAUUCCCCCCGGAUCAUGAGCUUCGUCGAGGAGCUGGACCCUCUUCACCGCGAGAUCGACGUCUUCGUCGCCAACGGCUGCCUUCCCGAUGAGGAAGGUGCCGUCGCUGCGCUUCGAGAGUACAUCACCUGUAACGACGUUAUGCUCUGCAUCUUCGCCGAUCCCGCGCACACCGUUAAUGAUCUGCUCCCGGUUGUUGGAAGAAUUUUGGACAGGGUUAAGAGGAUCCACGGAGAGCAGCACAAGUUGAGUGGCAGGGGAAGCCUCCUGCCUGCCGUUGGAGUGGGACGAAGACGUUUUCCGGGAUUUCCUGGACUACCUGAUGUGCAACGACGUCAUGAAAUGCCUCUUCAACCAGCCCGACGUCGUGAUACGACACAUGCUGCCAGCCGUGGCGGAUGCCGUGAGGAGGAUCAAUUGGAUCCACGGAAAGCACUUGAAACUAAGGAAACGGGUCAAGAAGGCAAUUAACAUAUUCAGAACCAUGACGGGUUCGGAUUCGGACCACGACGGACACCUGCCGAUCCCCUCCGUCGCGCAGUUGCGGGAAUUCAUCAAACUCGUGGUCAACAAACUCCUGGACCCGUGCGCCUUCUUGAAAUUCACCAAGAAACGCGUGGACAGACUCCGGGUCAACAGCAACUGCAGGUUCUACUGCCAGUUCUUCAGCACGGCCACCGACGUGUUCGGCCCGCACGUCCCGCUCCAAUGCACCUACCUCGUCGCCGGAACGUGCUCCGAGAGCACCUGCGUCUGCGACCAGGACGUCAAACUGACGGUCAAAAAGGACUCGCUGUAUUCCGGGAAGGUUCACAUGCUCUUGUGCGCUUAUAUAUUCAGACGCAAACUCAAUAAGAUCGAUCUGCCCAUAGACCCUAUUGUGCCAGCUAGGAACGACAGCCCUGCUUCUGGGUCGUCUUCUUUUGCGGAUUUUCCCUCUGACACUGAAGGCACACCCCAGUCGAAUCUCCACCCUCAGUCUAAACCCACCCCUAGGGUUCAAUCCUCCCCUGAGGCUCAAUCCACCCCUAGGACUCAAUCUACCCCUAGGACUCAAUCCACCCCUAGGACUCAAUCCCCCCCUGAGACUCAACCCACCCCUGGGGCCCAGUACCCCACAACGGUUCAAUCCACCCCUAGGGCUCAAUCCACCCUUAGGGCUCAAUCUACCCAUAGGACUCAAUCCACCCAUGAGACUCAACCCACCCCUAGGGCUCAGUCCCCCACUAGGGUUCAAUCCACCCCUAGGGCAAAGCCUAAUCCUGAAACGAUCAACGCUUCUAAACCUAAACGUCGAUCUAUGUAUAAAUCCCUCCCUGCCACUUCUCUCCGUACCGCUAAAAAGUCUCUCGAACGCCUCACGCCGUACCUGGCGAAAGUGUAUAAAUAUGUUUCGGAUGUUAAGCUCCGCUAUAGUAAGACUCAAGAAGAUGAAACGCCUAUGUAAGUGACUGCGUCAAUGAUUGUUGAGUCUAAACCCACCCCUAGGGCUCAAUCUCCCCCUGAGACUCAACCCACCCCUAGGGCUCAGUCCCCCACUACGGUUCAAUCCACCCCUAGGGCUUAAUCUACCCAUAGGACUCAACCUCCCCCUGAGACUCAACCCAGCCCUAGGGCUCAAUCCUCCCCAGGGGCUUAAUCCACCGCUAGGGCUCAAUCUACCCAUAGGACUCAAUCCCCCCCUGAGACUCAACCCACCCCUAGGGCUCAGUCCCCCACUAGGGUUCAAUCCACCCCUAGAGCUCAGUCCACCCCUAAGGUUCGAUCCACCCCUAGGGCUAAACCUGAUCCUGAAACGAUCAACGCUUCUAAAUCUAAACGUCGAUCUAUGUAUAAAUUCCUCCCUGCCACUUCUCUCCGUACCGCUAAAAAAUCUUUCAAACGCCUCACGCCUUACCUGGCGAAAGUGUAUAAAUAUGUUUCGGAUGUUAAGCUUCGCUAUAGUAAGACUCAAGAAGAUGAAACGCCUCAGUAAGUGAAUGCGUGAAUGAUUGGGCUACGCAGUGAAAAAAAAUUAAAACAAUUUAGUAAAAUUGUAAAAGAAAAGUAAAAUUGCGUUGAGCCUGGGCAUAAUUUGGUGUGCAUAAUGUUCGAUGUUGUAGUGGAUUCCUUGGACUGGGAGGGUGACUGGCUAACCAGGGAACAGGGAUCUCCUCGCAAAAGUGUGCGACUAAUUUUCAGUUGCAAUCAGCAGGGAUAUUCGUUUACAAGCUCGUUUAUUCAUUCAUUUAUUUUAUAAAAAUGUCAGUAUUAGUAAUAUUAAGAUGUGUGGCGUUUAGCACAAUAAUUUUCUUUAUGAUAAGAUGUUCUUCUAAUUCAAACUCCACUUUUUUUUAAUUAUUCGAACGAUUUCAAAUGAAAUUAAUUUAUUGUUACUGAGAAUAACAAUAACAGAACAAAUAAAUUUCCUAGAGAUAAAUAAAAUGCAAAAAUAUAUACUUUUUUGAUGAUGUUAUUCUCUUUGAUCUUGAUUUGAUUAAUUACAAUUUUAGGAGAGGCAAAUCGUACCCCCUUCAAUUUCUCCGAGGUUAUGAUUCUUAGGUUAUUGAACACAAGCAUUAUCACUAUCGAUACUAUUGUGAAAUCUAUGCUAGCAAGCUUUGCUCCAAAUGUUGUCAAUUAUUUCUCGCUCGAGCACUGGCUAUUUUUACGGCGUCCGCGUUCUGCUGAUCAUUUUAGAAUGUAUUCUGAAUUGUACAAGGCUAAAUUACCUGCUGUUAUGUAUUAAACGCAGCAUUCCAAAUCGUCAAAGAUACUCAUUCAGACUGACAAAUGUGUGAAAAAAUAAAUUUCCUAUAGAUAAAUAAAAUGCAAAAAUAUAUAACUUUUUGGGUAAUUUUAUUCCCUUGGAUCUUAAUUUGAUUGAUUAUAAUUUUAGAAGAAGCAAAUCGUACACCCUUCGAUUUCUCCGAAGGGAUGAUUCUUGGGGUUAUUGGUUUUGUUUUGGCGUCCAAUGGCGACAAAAAUGGAGCAAGAUAUCUACUUCAAUAGUCUCAUUACCUGCCACGAUGUGUCAUGGCGGAGAAGGUGGACUCACAGUGCAGCGUGAGAGAGCCUUACUAUUACGGCUUGAACUUCAAGAGUUUCUUUUCGAGCUUGCGGGAGCUGGUUUCCGAGAAAAAUGUGGCAUAAUCACGUUUCUCGCGAGGGGUAGAAGGGAAAAAUUCUGAAACUGUUAAUCCCGGGGGCAUGCAGACCUCAAUUUCAUCAGUGGCGUGGCGUGAAUUGCGAUAUAUCGAUUGUUAUACCAUUUAAACCUAUGGUAAAGAAUCGAUUUUGAAGGUGUCCGCUGCGAACACCCUGUUUAUCGAUAUUUUUCCACAGGUUUAAAUGGCAUAUCAAUCGAUAUAUCGCAAUUCACGCCACGCCACUGCAUUUCAUCCUUGGUAAGAGGCUGUGAUAUUUUCAGAGACAGACGGACAUAGCGACGCGUAUGUAUGAUGACGCUAGAAAGAUUGGAGAUCAAGGAUUGCGAAGCUUUGAAUUUUCAAGGUCUCGCCGUUUAUUUUUUUUUUAAAAAAAAAAAAAAAAAAAAAAGAAGACCUGUUAGUGGCGAUGUCAAAAAAAAAACGUGCCUUUCCCUCGAAAACAUGCGAAAAUGGCAGACUGAAGGCUGUAGACGGAGAAAAAAUAGGGGGACAGUUUAAACUCACGCAAUUUCAAUCGCGCGUUUAUGUGCUGAAAGAGACUAUGAGCAAAAACUACUAUUCGUAUAGAAAGUUAAUAUUUGUCAUAUAUUCUGAACUAAUAAAAAUAAUUUAAAUCUGUAAAAAGUUUGGGAAUUGUCAUACCCUCAGCUUUUUAAAAAACUUCCGUUUUUUAAAUUUGGUCCUCUGAGUGCUGAGUGACAUCAGUUUUUCCACACCUGUCUCUCACCACGCGCGCUGGGAAGGUCACAGGACGGUAGCAUGCGGCUUCAUCCUGCAAAUUGACAAAUGGAGUUUUUUGUUCGAAAUUUAAAAUUUUCAUGUUUGUGAAGACCUGACUUUACUUUUCCACGUAAUCCCAAUCUCGUUGGACACAUUGCCAUGACGAGAGCUUUUUUAUUCCAUCAGCGUAAAACUGGCGAUUCUAUUUUUCCAACCAAUUUUGUACAGCUCCUUUCACCUCAUCGUCGUCCACGGAACGUUUUUCGCCAAAACUCUUCUCUAGCUCAGGUAAUAAGUGAUAAAUCACGUGGAAUCAGAUCCUGAGGAUAAGAGGGAUGUGGAGGAGGUCUCAUUUUAAGGAGGUCAACAACUGAUUGGUCACAUGAACUGUAUUGUGCCUAGCAUUGUCAUGAAGCAGCAUUACUUGACAAGACAGAAGGCCAAGGUAUUUUCUUUGAAUGCUGAUGUGAGGCGUUUCAUGACAUCACAGUUUCUGUUUGCAUCAAAAUAUUUGUGCUUCUUUCUGAGAAAUAAAUGAGUAACACUCAUAGAGCACCCCUAAAGAUGCGCGUAAAUUUUGGACACGCGGUGGUGAGAGACGGGUGUGGGAACACUAAUGUCACGGCACUCAGGAGACCAAAAAAAAACUAAAGCUUUUUAGAAAGCUGAGGGUAUGACAAUUUUCUGCAAUUCACUGCAAAAAUAACGAUACAUUUCUUAUUUUUUUCUUUGAUUUUAUUUGUUGAUUUUAUUUGAAGAAAACGUAGUACAAAAUACAGACUUCUAACCAUUUAGAUAAGUUACAGACUACCCGGUCGUUUGUACUCACACAUUUAUUUUGUAUUUAGAAACAAAGUGUAUAAUUUCAUUGUGAAAGUUCGCUUAACACUAAUAAAAAAAAAAAAAAAAAAAAAAAAAAAAAAAAAAAAAAAAAUACAGACCGUGCCCCUAGCCAUCCCUGCAAAUGUGAAGGUUUUCGUCGCACCAAAGAGGGUGGCAACAAUUCUGCUUGCGGACGUUAGUUUCCCAGCCCGGGAUCUUGUAGGGUACGUACACUCCACAGCGAUGCCCCCUGUGAUUGCACAACGGGUAGUCCUCCCACGCAUGGAUAUCAAGGACGAUCAUGGAAAUGAACAUCAAGGCCAGCCACAAAGAAACCAUGCAUUUCAUCAUAUUCUGUUUGAAUCGAAAAAUGAAAACGUGAAUCGAUCGACAUGAAUCGAUCGACACCGAUUCGAUCGACAAAUUGUCAAAAACCCGGGACCGAUUCGAUCGACAUGAAUCGAUCGAAAAAUCAAAACGUGAAUCGAUCGACAUGAAUCGAUCGAAACCGAUUCGAUCGACAAAUUAUUAAAAAACCCGGUACCGAUUCGAUCGACAUGAAUCGAUCGAAAAAUCAAAACGUGAAUCGAUCGACAUGAAUCGAUCGACACCGAUUCGAUCGACAAAUUAUUAAAAAACACCCGGAUUGAUUCGAUCGACAUGAAUCGAUCGAAAAAUCAAAACGUGAAUCGAUCGACGUGAAUCGAUCGACACCGAUUCGAUCGACAAAAUUCGAUCGACUCACGGAUUUGUCGAUCGAUUCACGGAUUUGUCGAUCGAUUCACGGGUUUGUCGAUCCAUUCACGGGCUUGUCGAUCCAUUCACGGGCUUGUCGAUCCAUUCACGGGCUUGUCGAUCGAUUCAUGGGGUUUGUCGAUCGACUCACGGUUUUUGUCGAUCGACUCACGGAUUUGUCGAUCCAUUCACGGGUUUGUCGAUCCAUUCACGGGUUUGUCGAUCCAUUCACGGGUUUGUCGAUCGACUCACGGGUUUGUCGAUCCAUUCACGGGCUUGUCGAUCGAUUCACGGGGUUUGUCGAUCCAUUCACGGGGUUUGUCGAUCGAUUCACGGCUUUUGUCGAUCGAUUCACGGCUUUUGUCGAUCGACUCACGGGUUUGUCGAUCCAUUCACGGGUUUGUCGAUCGACUCACGGGUUUGUCGAUCGACUCACGGGUCUGUCGAUCCAUUCACGGGUUUGUCGAUCCAUUCACGGGCUUGUCGAUCGAUUCACGGGGUUUGUCGAUCCACUCACGGCUUUUGUCGAUCCAUUCACGGUUGUCGAUCGAAUCGGUGUCGAUCGAUUCACGUCGAUCGAUUCACGUUUUGAUUUUUCGAUCCAUUCAUGUCGAUCGAAUCGAUCCGGGUGUUUUUUAAUAAUUUGUCGAUCGAAUCGGUGUCGAUCGAUUCACGUCGAUCGAUUCACGUUUUGAUUUUUCGAUCGAUUCAUGUCGAUCGAAUCG
RNAcentral lists this long non-coding RNA (6556 nucleotides) under Bemisia tabaci. RNAcentral describes it as "lncRNA ENSSSA1UGG011554". Lineage: Eukaryota; Metazoa; Arthropoda; Insecta; Hemiptera; Aleyrodidae. The record is from RNAcentral.